AUCUUUGCGCUUGGGGCAAUGACGCAGUUAGAGAGGUGAAACCGAGACGCGUCAAUUGCUGGUUGAAAACUAUUUCCAAACUAUUUCCGAGGGAUCUUAACUUCUUACCAGCAUCUUUUCUCUUGAUUUCACUGAUCG
This 138-nucleotide small nuclear RNA is filed under the name Marchantia polymorpha subsp. ruderalis. RNAcentral describes it as "U4 spliceosomal RNA". It matches the Rfam family "U4 spliceosomal RNA". Rfam says of the family: U4 small nuclear RNA (U4 snRNA) is a component of the major U2-dependent spliceosome. The structure of U4 snRNA from yeast and human has been reported. Lineage: Eukaryota; Viridiplantae; Streptophyta; Marchantiopsida; Marchantiales; Marchantiaceae. The record is from Rfam by way of RNAcentral.